UGAACCCGGGGUCAAAAUACCAUGCGGUAAAAUGACCACGGGGUCAUUAUACCGCAUGGUAUUUUGACCCCGGGGUCAUUUUUCACAUAU
RNAcentral lists this small RNA (90 nucleotides) under Mytilus galloprovincialis (Mediterranean mussel). The record is from RNAcentral. Lineage: Eukaryota; Metazoa; Mollusca; Bivalvia; Mytilida; Mytilidae.